This is a non-coding RNA of Notechis scutatus (mainland tiger snake), 669 nucleotides long. The record is from RefSeq and is a predicted model, not a curated record. Lineage: Eukaryota; Metazoa; Chordata; Lepidosauria; Squamata; Elapidae.
UCAUUUAAAAAUACAGCUGUCUGCAACAAGGAUUCGAGAGGGAAUGAAGGGGGGGGGGGAGGAGAAGAGGGCUUACCCACCAACACCCUGGCAAACAAGGCUGCUCUGCAUCUGUUGUACCUGUUCCUGUUGCCUUCCUUGCCUCUUGGAAUCAUGUCAAGAGAGAAAAGUCGCCUCAAAGCUGCGGGUCUGCAGCCCUGUGCAGGAAGUUGGCACCGAUCCCAGGCAGCGCAAAAGGCACCCCCAGAUUGCAGUGACGUCAUUUUUUUCCUCUCUUCCAAGUUUCACAAAGAUUGGCUGUGUGUAUGAAUGUCUAUGAAUGGUGCAUUUGUAUAGUAAUGUUGUGACAAAGAAAGUCUAAAGUUUAAAAACAUCCAGGAUAUCAUUGAACUGCUGAAGCUUCAAAGGCAUGACAAAUACUUAAAAUUGUGAGAGAUUUAAUCUUAAAGGACUCAGCAUGAUUUUACAGGUGAGUACAUAUAGCCGAAUCCUGACUCACAGAAUCAAGAGUCUAUUCAAUUUUAAAUUGCAAAUCUAUAGAGGUGGGCUUAUCUUGCAAGUCUGCCAAGAUGGCUUUUACUUUCUACAAUGCACUCCAUUAGUUUGCAACAAAAUUUUGUAUCUUUUUCUAACAAUGAGGGGCAAUGGUAGCAGCUAAACAGUUUUUAG